UACUGAGUGGCGAACGGGUGAGUAACACGUGGGUGAUCUGCCCUGCACUUAGGGAUAAGCUUGGGAAACUGGGUCUAAUACCGGAUAGGAGCCAUCUUUAGUGUGGUGGUUGGAAAGUUUUUUCGGUGUAGGAUGAGCUCGCGGCCUAUCAGCUUGUUGGUGGGGUAAUGGCCUACCAAGGCGGCGACGGGUAGCCGGCCUGAGAGGGUGUACGGCCACAUUGGGACUGAGAUACGGCCCAG
This 242-nucleotide ribosomal RNA is filed under the name uncultured Actinomycetales bacterium. RNAcentral's name for it is "partial 16S ribosomal RNA". It matches the Rfam family "Bacterial small subunit ribosomal RNA", at positions 89 to 334 of the family's 1533-position model. Lineage: Bacteria; Bacillati; Actinomycetota; Actinomycetes; Actinomycetales. The record is from RNAcentral.